CGUAACAAGGUCUCCGUUGGUGAACCAGCGGAGGGAUCAUUACCGAGUUUACAACUCCCAAACCCCUGUGAACAUACCACUUGUUGCCUCGGCGGAUCAGCCCGCUCCCGGUAAAACGGGACGGCCCGCCAGAGGACCCCUAAAACUCUGUUUCUAUAUGUAACUUCUGAGUAAAACCAUAAAUAAAUCAAAACUUUCAACAACGGAUCUCUUGGUUCUGGCAUCGAUGAAGAACGCAGCAAAAUGCGAUAAGUAAUGUGAAUUGCAGAAUUCAGUGAAUCAUCGAAUCUUUGAACGCACAUUGCGCCCGCCAGUAUUCUGGCGGGCAUGCCUGUUCGAGCGUCAUUUCAACCCUCAAGCACAGCUUGGUGUUGGGACUCGCGUUAAUUCGCGUUCCUCAAAUUGAUUGGCGGUCACGUCGAGCUUCCAUAGCGUAGUAGUAAAACCCUCGUUACUGGUAAUCGUCGCGGCCACGCCGUUAAACCCCAACUUCUGAAUGUUGACCUCGGAUCAGGUAGGAAUACCCGCUGAACUUAAGCAUAUCAAUAA
This 549-nucleotide ribosomal RNA is filed under the name Fusarium oxysporum. RNAcentral describes it as "eukaryotic LSU rRNA". The stretch from base 192 to 345 matches the Rfam family "5.8S ribosomal RNA". The record is from RNAcentral. Lineage: Eukaryota; Fungi; Ascomycota; Sordariomycetes; Hypocreales; Nectriaceae.